AGAGAGCGGCAAGCACCCAAUUCAUGAUCCUAGAUGUUGCACUAAUCAGAGCACAUGCAUGCCAACUAAUGAUAAACAAAGCUCACAAUUCACCUGAAUUUUUUGCAUCUGUACCAAACUUAUAUUGUUAACAGCAUGAUUAUUCUCCUAAAAUUAUUAAGCAUCACUAUAUUUCAAUCCUAUGAACAGUCAAAAUAUAGCAAAU
This 205-nucleotide unclassified non-coding RNA is filed under the name Hevea brasiliensis (rubber tree). The record is from RNAcentral. Lineage: Eukaryota; Viridiplantae; Streptophyta; Magnoliopsida; Malpighiales; Euphorbiaceae.